Molecule: unclassified non-coding RNA, 549 nt
Filed under: Hevea brasiliensis (rubber tree)
Lineage: Eukaryota; Viridiplantae; Streptophyta; Magnoliopsida; Malpighiales; Euphorbiaceae
Source: RNAcentral
GUUAGUGUUAAUUAAGUGCCUCAUCAUUUUUGUGGAUCUUUCUUUUCUUGCAAAUUAGUACUACAAGCCUUUGCGGAUAAUGGAUAUCGAUUAUGGCAAGUGUUGGGACACUUCGAAGAAGUCUUGGAAGAGUACACUGAUUCUGGCUUAUCAGAGUCUUGGGGUAGUGUAUGGUGAUCUCAGUAUUUCCCCUCUCUAUGUCUACAAGAGCACAUUUGCAGAAGACAUUCAUCAUUCUGAAACUAAUGAAGAGAUUUUUGGCGUUCUCUCUUUCGUUUUUUGGACUUUAACACUAGUUCCUCUAUUCAAAUAUGUCUUUAUCGUGCUUCGAGCUGAUGACAAUGGAGAAGGUGGUACUUUUGCGCUCUAUUCCUUAAUAUGCAGGCAUGCCAAAGUUAGCCUUCUACCUAACAGACAAGUUGCUGAUGAAGCUCUUUCUACCUACAAACUUGAGCACCCUCCUGAGAUGAAGAACAGCUCAAAGUUGAAGUUGCUUCUUGAGAAGCAUAAGUCCUUACACACUGCUCUGCUAAUUUUGGUACUUCUUGG